GGCCUACCAUGGUGGUAACGGGUAACGGGGUGUUAGGGCACGACACCGGAGAGGGAGCCUGAGAAACGGCUACCACAUCCAAGGAUGGCAGCAGGCGCGCAAAUUACCCAAUCCCGACACGGGGAGGUAGUGACAAUAAAUAACAAUACGGGGUUCUUUCGGAUCUCGUAAUUGGAAUGAGUACAAUUUAAAUCUCUUAACGAGGAACAAUUGGAGGGCAAGUCUGGUGCCAGCAGCCGCGGUAAUUCCAGCUCCAAUAGCGUAUAUUAAAGUUGUUGCAGUUAAAAAGCUCGUAGUUGAAUUUCGGGGUCAGUAGGUUGGUCGUGCCACAGGUAUGAACUGGUCUCACUGAUUCCUCCUUCCUGAUGAACCGUAAUGCCAUUAAUUUGGUGUUGGGGGGAGACUGGACUGUUACUUUGAAAAAAUUAGAGUGUUUAAAGCAGGCUAACGCUUGAAUACAUUAGCAUGGAAUAAUGAAAUAGGACGUUCGGUCUUAUUUUGUUGGUUUCUAAGAUUGACGUAAUGAUUAAUAGGGAUAGUUGGGGGCAUUAGUAUUCAAUUGUCAGAGGUGAAAUUCUUGGAUUUAUUGAAGACUAACUACUGCGAAAGCAUUUGCCAAGGAUGUUUUCAUUAAUCAAGAACGAAAGUUGGGGGCUCGAAGACGAUCAGAUACCGUCCUAGUCUCAACCAUAAACGAUGCCGACCAGGAUCGGCGGAUGUUGCUUUUAGGACUCCGCCGGCACCUUAUG
Molecule: ribosomal RNA, 749 nt
Filed under: uncultured Glomeromycotina
Lineage: Eukaryota; Fungi; Glomeromycota
Description: SSU rRNA
Rfam family: Eukaryotic small subunit ribosomal RNA
Source: RNAcentral